UACAGAGGGUGCGAGCGUUGUCCGGAAUCACUGGGCGUAAAGGGCGCGUAGGCGGCCUGAUAAGUAGGGGGUGAAAUCCUGUGGCUUAACUGCAGGGCUGCCUCCUAGACUGUUAGGCUCGAGCACGGUAGAGGCAGAUGGAAUUCCCGGUGUAGCGGUGGAAUGCGUAGAGAUCGGGAAGAACAUCGGUGGCGAAGGCGGUCUGCUGGGCCGUUGCUGACGCUGAGGCGCGAAAGCUAGGGGAGCGAACGGG
RNAcentral lists this ribosomal RNA (253 nucleotides) under uncultured bacterium. RNAcentral describes it as "partial 16S ribosomal RNA". It matches the Rfam family "Bacterial small subunit ribosomal RNA", at positions 524 to 776 of the family's 1533-position model. The record is from RNAcentral.